RNAcentral lists this ribosomal RNA (253 nucleotides) under uncultured bacterium. RNAcentral's name for it is "partial 16S ribosomal RNA". It matches the Rfam family "Bacterial small subunit ribosomal RNA", at positions 524 to 776 of the family's 1533-position model. The record is from RNAcentral.
GACGGAGGAUGCAAGUGUUAUCCGGAAUCACUGGGCGUAAAGCGUCUGUAGGUGGUUUAAAAAGUCUACUGUUAAAGCUUGAAGCUUAACUUCAAAAAUGCCGUAGAAACUUUUAAACUUGAGUAUGGUAGGGGUAGAGGGAAUUUCCAGUGGAGCGGUGAAAUGCGUAGAUCUUGGAAAGACCACCAAUGGCGAAGGCACUCUACUGGGCCAUUACUGACGCUGAGGCACGAAAGCGUGGGGAGCAAACAGG